Molecule: ribosomal RNA, 253 nt
Filed under: uncultured bacterium
Lineage: Bacteria
Description: partial 16S ribosomal RNA
Rfam family: Bacterial small subunit ribosomal RNA
Source: RNAcentral
UACGUAGGUGGCAAGCGUUGUCCGGAAUUAUUGGGCGUAAAGCGCGCGCAGGCGGUCUCUUAAGUCUGAUGUGAAAUCCCGUGGCUUAACCACGGGCGGUCAUUGGAAACUGGGGGACUUGAGUGCAGAAGAGAAGAGCGGAAUUCCACGUGUAGCGGUGAAAUGCGUAGAGAUGUGGAGGAACACCAGUGGCGAAGGCGGCUCUUUGGUCUGUAACUGACGCUGAGGCGCGAAAGCGUGGGGAGCAAACAGG